RNAcentral lists this long non-coding RNA (747 nucleotides) under Coturnix japonica (Japanese quail). Its description in RNAcentral is "lncRNA (ENSCJPG00005003065.1)". Lineage: Eukaryota; Metazoa; Chordata; Aves; Galliformes; Phasianidae. The record is from RNAcentral.
AUUUAUUACACAUGGCAGCUUCAGAUUUUUUAGGCAUGCAUAAUAUUAUAUUUCUUCUUCUUCCUCCAAACAGAUAAAACUUUUGGUUGAUUUAAUACACAAUUUCUGUGAUGCUGUAUUCUAGAGGAUGGCUGAAAGAUAAUUAUUAACCAUUUGCUUCUCUUUGAAAGAGAUUAAUAAUUGAUUCUUACUAAGAAUUCAGUUUCUCCUUUAAUGACAGUUUUUUGUGGAUUUGUUUUUUCAGACAUAGUUUAUCGCUUAUCAAGAGAUUAAGAGCAAAACACAUACUACAAAAUGCAAGAUUCUUGUAUUUCAAACCAGCUGAUAUUCAGGAUGGUCCAGAAGAGAAUGAGAAGAAGGGAGACCAGCUUGGGAGAUAUGGUCAUUGGAACAGCAGAAGAGUGCACUUGAGUUUAGGAAUACCUACAACAGCAAUUCAAUACUGAUCUUGGCACUGAAUCAAGCAUAAAGACAAAAGACAUUCCCACUGGGCACCACUGAAGCAAAUGCUUCACAUCAUGUCCCCACCUGUCCCCCUUCUAAUCUAAGGCAUUCCAUGCCUUGGCAUCUGUAUACUGGAAAGCUGUGACAGCUCACUCAUGUCUAGGUCACUCUGACUUUUAGUUGUUGCCUGGAUGCUCAGACAAGAAAAAUGGCCAGUGUGGGGAAGAAGAAAAGACUGUCAUAUGCAAGUAACUCCAUGACAUGUGGAAUUCUACUGAUCUGAAUGUGCACUCAGAGCCCUAU